AAGUUCUUCGGAGUGGAAAUUGAUAUUCUAGCGGCGGACGGGUGAGUAACGCGUGAGCAAUCUGUCCCAGACAGGGGGAUAACAGAUGGAAACAUCUGCUAAUACCGCAUAAGACCACGAGAGGACAUCCUCUUGAGGUAAAAGGAGCAAUCCGGUUUGGGGUGAGCUCGCGUCCGAUUAGCUAGUUGGCGAGGUAACGGCCCACCAAGGCGACGAUCGGUAGCCGACCUGAGAGGGUGAUCGGCCACAUUGGAACUGAGACACGGUCCAAACUCC
Molecule: ribosomal RNA, 276 nt
Filed under: uncultured Clostridia bacterium
Lineage: Bacteria; Bacillati; Bacillota; Clostridia
Description: partial 16S ribosomal RNA
Rfam family: Bacterial small subunit ribosomal RNA
Source: RNAcentral